RNAcentral lists this ribosomal RNA (505 nucleotides) under uncultured bacterium. RNAcentral describes it as "partial 16S ribosomal RNA". It matches the Rfam family "Bacterial small subunit ribosomal RNA", at positions 28 to 507 of the family's 1533-position model. The record is from RNAcentral.
GACGAACGCUGGCGGCGUGCCUAAUACAUGCGAGUAGAACGCACAGUUUAUACCGUAGCUUGCUACACCAUAGACUGUGAGUUGCGAACGGGUGAGUAACGCGUAGGUAACCUGCCUGGUAGCGGGGGAUAACUAUUGGUAACGAUAGCUAAUACCGCAUAAUAUUAAUUAUUGCAUGAUAAUUGAUUGAAAGAUGCAACUGCAUCACUACCAGAUGGACCUGCGUUGUAUUAGCUAGUAGGUGAGGUAACGGCUCACCUAGGCGACGAUACAUAGCCGACCUGAGAGGGUGAUCGGCCACACUGGGACUGAGACACGGCCCAGACUCCUACGGGAGGCAGCAGUAGGGAAUCUUCGGCAAUGGACGAAAGUCUGACCGAGCAACGCCGCGUGAGUGAAGAAGGUUUUCGGAUCGUAAAGCUCUGUUGUAAGAGAAGAACGGGUGUGAGAGUGGAAAGUUCACACUGUGACGGUAUCUUACCAGAAAGGGACGGCUAACUACGUG